Molecule: ribosomal RNA, 408 nt
Filed under: uncultured bacterium
Lineage: Bacteria
Description: partial 16S ribosomal RNA
Rfam family: Bacterial small subunit ribosomal RNA
Source: RNAcentral
GACGAACGCUGGCGGCGUGCUCAACACAUGCAAGUCGAACGAAGUGGCGAACGGGUGAGUAACGCGUGAUCAACCUGCCCUUCAGAGGGGGACAACAGGUGGAAACGACUGCUAAUACCGCAUACUGAAGGAGGGGUUUGCGUCUGAUUGGCUAGUUGGAGGGGUAACGGCCAACCAAGGCGAUGAGCAGUAGCCGGUCUGGGAGGUUGGACGGCCACAUUGGGACUGAGACACGGCCCAGACUCCUACGGGGGGCAGCAGUGGGGAAUCUUCCGCCAUGGACGAAAGUCUGACGGAGCAACGCCGCGUGAGUGAUGACGGCCUUCGGGUUGUAAAGCUCUGUUAAUCGGGACGCGGUACCGGAAUAGAAAGCCACGGCUAACUACGUGCCAGCAGCCGCGGUAAUUC